AUGGGAAGACAAAAGAUACACCUGAGGCACGAGAGGACCUGCAACAUUUGCACGAAAAAGACGGCAUGCCUCCGAAGCAGUAUGAAGGUCCUGCCAGCUACGCUCUUACGAAAGAAGAGAAAGAAAUCUUCUUGCCUGCUCAGUAUGAAGGUCCCGAUUGGCUUCUCGUCGAAUAUAAAGGGAAUAAUAAAUAUGCCAGAGAAAAAGUUCCAGAACCUAAAGUCUCAUGACUGCCACGUGAUUAUGACGCAACUGCUUCCGGUUGCAUUGAGGGGGCUUCUACCGGAAAACGUCCGAUUAGCCAUUGUGAAGCUAUGUGCAUUCCUCAAUGCAAUCUCUCAGAAGGUGAUCGAUCCAGAAAUCAUACCAAGGCUAAGGAGUGAUGUGGCGCAAUGUCUUGUUAGUUUCGAGCUGGUGUUCCCACCAUCCUUCUUCAAUAUCAUGACGCACGUCCUAGUUCAUCUAGUCGACGAGAUUGUCAUUCUGGGCCCGUAUUUCUACACAAUAUGUUCCCCUUUGAGAGGUUCAUGCGAGUCCUAA
This 540-nucleotide ribosomal RNA is filed under the name Triticum aestivum (bread wheat). RNAcentral's name for it is "partial small subunit ribosomal RNA". Lineage: Eukaryota; Viridiplantae; Streptophyta; Magnoliopsida; Poales; Poaceae. The record is from RNAcentral.